AACUUUAGGCUAAGGGUAAUUGUACCAUUGGCUUUGGGUGUUUUCCAAAAAAAUUUUGGAGAUGGCCGACUCAUCAACUUCUUCAAUAAACAAAUCAAAACCCUAAUCCCUCACCCACCAGUCCACCACCGCCCUCAUGUCUCCCACCACUAUCGUUCGUCGCCAACCCACACCAGCGGAGAAACCGUGACAACUAGAUGAACGGUUGCAUUGGAGCAGACGCAACGACAACUUUUAGGGUUCAUGUGCGCAUCUCCUCGCCGGGAUUCGGUGCAUUUUUGGUCCAGCUUUUCUAAUUAGGCAUAUUUAUGUUACGAGAGGGUAGUUGUAGUUUUGAUGUUGAUGGCUUCCAUCCUCUCAACAUUGGCAAACUUGCUAUGAAAGGCAAAGAUACACUCUUUCUUCCCUACACCCCAGAGGUAACAUAUGCCUUUUUAUAACUUAAUUACAUAUGUUAAGAUAUUUCUGGGUUUAGUGUUUUGGGGUUCUUAGAACCCACUCUAUAUGGAUGCCCAAAACCGAUCUGCCAUUGACGUCAAGCAAAGCUGCCAAGUAGCGUGCGUGUGCAAAAGAAAGAUUGGAUAUUUACAUAACAUUAAAAGAUCUUUAUAUGUUGAAUCUUAAAUGUUCAUAUCGCGGGGAUUUGUUAUUGUGAAAGAACUUGAGCAACUUGAGCGUCAACUUGAAUUUACUUUGAGUCAAAUUUGGUGCAUAAGGGUAUGUUUAGUGUGUUUCUACUAGCUAUAUAAUCUGAGGAGGUGUUUGAAUGAUUCAUCUCGGAUAUGGAUGGCGGGGAUUUGAUUGGAGUACCGGCGAUAGUUCAGUCAAACUCCGCAGAAGUAGAACAGAAGGAAUAGACAAUGGUUGGAUGAAAAUGGGUUUGAAUCGCGAGUAAAAGGAAGGGGCUUUUUGAUUCGCGGGUGGGCAACACAAGUUCUGAUCCUAUCGCACCGAGCCGCAGGUUUUUUCUUGACACCUUGCUGUGUCUGUAGGUUUUUUUUUUCUCAGAAAAGUAGAAUUUGAUUUCUUAAAAUGUCAUCUUUAUUUAUGCCUUUGUAUAAUAAACCAAAUCGCAAUCAAGUUACUUACGUUUC
This is a long non-coding RNA of Helianthus annuus (common sunflower), 1094 nucleotides long. RefSeq lists it as uncharacterized. The transcript is spliced from 4 exons. The record is from RefSeq and is a predicted model, not a curated record. Lineage: Eukaryota; Viridiplantae; Streptophyta; Magnoliopsida; Asterales; Asteraceae.